RNAcentral lists this unclassified non-coding RNA (314 nucleotides) under fungal sp. Its description in RNAcentral is "partial internal transcribed spacer region". The stretch from base 1 to 44 matches the Rfam family "Eukaryotic small subunit ribosomal RNA", at positions 1788 to 1831 of the family's 1831-position model. Lineage: Eukaryota; Fungi. The record is from RNAcentral.
GUCGUAACAAGGUUUCCGUAGGUGAACCUGCGGAAGGAUCAUUACCACACCUUAACAAAUUGAAUGCGAGCGGGGCGUCAAACCCUCGCUCGUCUUCGGUUACGUGGACCCCCUUUUGGGCGGAGCUCGUCUCUGCCACGCCGACGGAGCUAGAUUUCAUUCUAUCUCCCGACGCACCAUUUCCAUCCACUUGUUCACGCAAGUGCGAUACCAACACAAUCUGAUUGAAACUCAUCCAAACGGCCGUUCGCAAGAACCGCCUGACAAAGAUGAAACGAAACUAACACUUUCAGCAACGGAUGUCUUGGCUCCCA